This 69-nucleotide transfer RNA is filed under the name marine eukaryotic metagenome. It matches the Rfam family "tRNA". From Rfam's summary of the family: Transfer RNA (tRNA) molecules are approximately 80 nucleotides in length. Their secondary structure includes four short double-helical elements and three loops (D, anti-codon, and T loops). The record is from RNAcentral.
CGGAGUAGCUCAGUUGGUAGAGCAGCGCAUUCGUAAUGCGAAGGUCGGGGGUUCGAUUCCUCUCUCCGG